CCCUACGGGAGGCAGCAGUGGGGAAUAUUGCACAAUGGGGGAAACCCUGAUGCAGCGACGCCGCGUGAGUGAAGAAGUAUUUCGGUAUGUAAAGCUCUAUCAGCAGGGAAGAAAUACUGACCUUACGGUCAGCAGACGGUACCUGACUAAGAAGCCCCGGCUAACUACGUGCCAGCAGCCGCGGUAAUACGUAGGGGGCAAGCGUUAUCCGGAAUUACUGGGUGUAAAGGGAGCGUAGACGGUUAAGUAAGUCUGGAGUGAAAGGCCGGGGCCCACCCCCGGGGCUGCUCUGGAAACUAUUGAAC
This 305-nucleotide ribosomal RNA is filed under the name uncultured bacterium. RNAcentral's name for it is "bacterial SSU rRNA". It matches the Rfam family "Bacterial small subunit ribosomal RNA", at positions 337 to 641 of the family's 1533-position model. The record is from RNAcentral.